RNAcentral lists this transfer RNA (74 nucleotides) under Candidatus Moranbacteria bacterium CG_4_9_14_3_um_filter_42_9. Its description in RNAcentral is "tRNA-Gly". It matches the Rfam family "tRNA". Rfam says of the family: Transfer RNA (tRNA) molecules are approximately 80 nucleotides in length. Their secondary structure includes four short double-helical elements and three loops (D, anti-codon, and T loops). Further hydrogen bonds mediate the characteristic L-shaped molecular structure. tRNAs have two regions of fundamental functional importance: the anti-codon, which is responsible for specific mRNA codon recognition, and the 3' end, to which the tRNAs corresponding amino acid is attached (by aminoacyl-tRNA synthetases). tRNAs cope with the degeneracy of the genetic code in two manners: having more than one tRNA (with a specific anti-codon) for a particular amino acid; and 'wobble' base-pairing, i.e. permitting non-standard base-pairing at the 3rd anti-codon position. Lineage: Bacteria; Candidatus Moraniibacteriota. The record is from RNAcentral.
GCGGGUGUCGUAUAAUGGUAAUACCUCAGCUUUCCAAGCUGAAGCCAGGGGUCCGAUUCCCCUCACCCGCUCCA